Molecule: long non-coding RNA, 1801 nt
Filed under: Homo sapiens (human)
Lineage: Eukaryota; Metazoa; Chordata; Mammalia; Primates; Hominidae
Description: AGA divergent transcript, transcript variant 10 (AGA-DT)
Source: RNAcentral
GAGACGAGGCGUCCCUGGGCCCGCGGGAGAGUUGUGUCACGGGGCACUGAGCUGUUCCCUGCGCUAAGUGCUGGUAAUGAUGUAUACCUGGCAGCUGACCGUCAAAUCUUAUGAAGGAUUAAAACAUAAAGUUUGCAUUAAAGGUCAAAACAGUCACAAGCCUGCUCAAAUUCGGAAAGAGGGGACGGAAAUGGAACCUCUUCAUGGGAGGAAGAAACAGGGUCUUGCUCUGUUGCCCUGGCUGGAGUGCAAUGGUAUGAUCAUAGCUCACAGUAGCCUUGAACUCCUGGGCCCAAGCCAUCCUCCUACCUCAGCAACCAGAGUAGCUGGGAUUACAGGCGAAUGCCACCACACCUGGAAUUGGAAAAAUGAAUGUAAUUUGACAUAUGUCUUGAGUCUGGUUGGCUUCUGAGGAACUUGUGUGCAUCUCAUCAGUAUGCAUCUUAAGAACUGAAAUGACCCUACUUCAGCAUUGUGAGAAGACAUGCAUUCUCUUCGUAUAAAUAAUGUGGAUCUUACAUGUAAAGUAUUAUAAAGAUUAGCUGUUUAACAACUUAAAUAAGCUUGUGAAUAAUAAAUUAAUAACAAUGUUAUGCUAAUACGUAACUAUGAUAUUUGCUGAACAAAAUAAAUUUGCCUACUUUGGAAGCAGAUUGGGUGGUUUAAUAUAUCAGCAAAAGAGUGUUUUUAAAAAAUAUCAAAGUUCUGUUAAUCAAAACGUUUAUUGUAGGACAGUUAGUAAUGUUUUGUUUGCCAACUUAUAUUACAAAGUCUCUGUCUUAAGUGUUUCCUUGCAAAUAAAAUGACAAUACUGCCUUACAUUUUAUUACUUUAGAGUUUGCAAAAUAUCUUCAUUAUAAUAUUUCAUUUAGUAGACAUGCCUAUGGGAACAUUACUUCCAGAAUUAAAAACAUUAUUUUUGUUUUGGUAUAUUUUUAAACUACAAAUGAUAGAAAGGCAAGUAAAUGUAAGUUUUUCUCUAGUUAUUUGUUCAAAUGCUAAUUUAAAACAUUUGUACAUUUCUAAUACAAACAUUCCUUAUUUGAGAAAAAAUGGAUUUCUUAAAAACAAAAUGCAUUUUAAAGCAGAGAGACAGGGCAUUGAGCUGAAAAUGGUGGCUGGAAGUUGGGAUCUGUAAGAGAAGUUGAAUGUGCCCCGAGGCAUAAAGCUGCUAAUUUUGUUUUAUUGGAUUUUACUGUAGCUAUUAAUAUAUUUUGCUGGAGAUUUAUGUGAUCAAUUUAUCUUAUGGCCAGAACUAAUUCCCUUAGUAUAUUUUAUUAGAAUAUGUGACUUUUUCUAAAUUUAGCUUUAUUUUUCAUAUUUUCCAUAAAUGGCAAAGAUUCUAUGUUUCCAGACAUGUUAAGUAUUGCAAGAAUUAUUGGAGCACCUAAAGAUAAAUAAUAUCAAAAUAGUGUCAUUGUUUCCCUUAGUUUCUCCUUCUCCCCCACAAAUAAACCAAGAGGUAUUUAGUUAUACUAUUGCAUGUCUCUAGCUUUAUUGGAUUCUUCCAUGAAAGAAAAAUGGAUUACAUUUUUGGUUGUGUGGCCCUCGUUGCCCUAUUGCACUUUUGAUAAUAUUUGCCUGUGACAAGUAGUUAUUUUUCAUUACCACAUUCAAUCAUGGGUAAUAAAAUAUUUUAAUAAUGGUGAAUGUGAAGUUAAUUAAUAACCCGCAGGUAUGGCAGCUAGACAGGAUUGCUCUCCAUCUCAAACACAAGGAAAACAAUUCCAUCGGUAGUUAUAAAUUUGCAUAUGAAUGUCAAAUAUAUGAGGUUUUGAAUAAAAAUCAUUUCUGAGUAAAA